This 203-nucleotide unclassified non-coding RNA is filed under the name Hevea brasiliensis (rubber tree). Lineage: Eukaryota; Viridiplantae; Streptophyta; Magnoliopsida; Malpighiales; Euphorbiaceae. The record is from RNAcentral.
GAGGUUGAUGAUGCUGCCUCUUACAUUGACCCUAACAACUACCUGAACGUUCCAGGUGGGCAUUCAAGACCUCUCACCAGGAAUUACCAGGGCUUGAAGGAACAUAUAAUCUGCAGGGCAUGCAAAUCAAAGGAGGUGUGCAUGUUGUUAAUGCCUUGUAGGCAUUUAUGUUUAUGUAAAGACUGUGAUAUGUUAAUCAAUGU